CCCCGGGUUGAUAACUAGAUGAUAUGCUCGGUUUAAUUUCAGUCCCAUAUUGUCCUUUAAGUAUCCGGAAAAUUGACUGUGUGGAAAUGCUUCUUACACGAUUUUAAAAUCUCUCAUUGUCUCAAUAAGGGUUUCCAUUUUUUUCAAUCGUUUACUUUUCCUCCACAUCU
This 170-nucleotide small nucleolar RNA is filed under the name Kazachstania africana CBS 2517. Lineage: Eukaryota; Fungi; Ascomycota; Saccharomycetes; Saccharomycetales; Saccharomycetaceae. The record is from RNAcentral.